Agrilus planipennis (emerald ash borer) is the source of this 855-nucleotide long non-coding RNA. RefSeq lists it as uncharacterized. Lineage: Eukaryota; Metazoa; Arthropoda; Insecta; Coleoptera; Buprestidae. The record is from RefSeq and is a predicted model, not a curated record. The transcript is spliced from 4 exons.
ACAAUAAAUAGAAACACAGUUAGAUGUAUUAGAAAUAGAAUUUAUUAGGAUUCAAUAUAAUAAAUUAUAUUCCUGAAACAUUUAAGGGCGUGUGAAAUUAAUUCCUGUUUUUGACCAUUUCUACAGAUUGGCUCGUAAAUGAGAGAGAGCAUUGAAGUAGAUUUUGACCCUAUUGAAAAACAAAUGGUGCAUUAUGGAAUAUUGUUCUUGCUGGAUUUCGUUUAAAGCUACAUACUACUAAAGGAACAUAAAAAUUCCAUACACAAUAUGUUAUGAAACAUUGGUUGUAUCAGUGCUCUUUGACUCUGGAAAGUAGUAAUACCUGAAGUCUUGAGGAAGGCGUGAAGGUGCCUUUUUUUCCGUUGGGAACGAAGGCAGUGUGCGAUAGCAGAAGGAAGGAUUUAUGACAUUGAACAGAUUAGCCAACAACUGAGAGAGAUUGGAACUGAUAUCCUUUGCUUAUUGAAAAGAUAAGUUGUCUUCUUUGGUGUUUUAGCUGUUAACUUUUCAUCUUGGAGGCUCUUGUAGUUAAUUAAGGAACAUUAGAAGAACUCCGUAUACCAUUAAAUUAUGAAGUUAUGGAGCAUUGGUUGUAUUAGUCCUCAUUUGCCCCGGAAAGUAGCUGUUCCCAUGGUUCUAAUAAAAGCAUGAAAGUGCCUUUUUUCCAUUGGGAACGAAGCUGUUAAAUUUUCAUCCUGGAUGCUCUUGUAGUUAAUUAAGGUGAGCAUACAUGCUGUAUUGUAUAUAUGUAGCGUAUUUUUUUUUGAUAUUAAAAGACAAAAGGGUACGGCGUUACUUUUAACAAUUUAUUUAUGCACUCUACUUAGUAUGGGGUCUAAAUUUAUUAUAUUUGAA